AGUGAACGCUGGCGGUAGGCCUAACACAUGCAAGUCGAACGGCAGCACAGUAAGAGCUUGCUCUUACGGGUGGCGAGUGGCGGACGGGUGAGGAAUACAUCGGAAUCUACUUUUUCGUGGGGGAGAACGUAGGGAAACUUACGCUAAUACCGCAUACGACCUACGGGUGAAAGCAGGGGAUCUUCGGACCUUGCGCGAUUGAAUGAGCCGAUGUCGGAUUAGCUAGUUGGCGGGGUAGAGGCCCACCAAGGCGACGAUCCGUAGCUGGUCUGAGAGGAUGAUCGGCCACACUGGAACUGGGACACGGUCCAGGCUCCUGCGGGAGGCAGCAGUGGGGAAUAUUAGGCAAUGGGCGCAAGCCUGUUCCAGCCAUACCGCGUGGGUGAAGAAGGCCUUCGGGUUGUGAAGCACUUUUGUUGGGGAAGAAAAGCAGCAGGUUGAUACCCCGCUGUUCUGACGGUACCCGAAGAAUAAGCACCGGCUAACUUCGUG
Molecule: ribosomal RNA, 492 nt
Filed under: uncultured bacterium
Lineage: Bacteria
Description: partial 16S ribosomal RNA
Rfam family: Bacterial small subunit ribosomal RNA
Source: RNAcentral